This 496-nucleotide ribosomal RNA is filed under the name uncultured bacterium. RNAcentral's name for it is "partial 16S ribosomal RNA". It matches the Rfam family "Bacterial small subunit ribosomal RNA", at positions 29 to 507 of the family's 1533-position model. The record is from RNAcentral.
AUGAACGCUGGCGGCGUGCCUAAUACCUGCAAGUCGAGCGCGCGGACGAGAAGCUUGCUUCUCUGAUGUUAGCGGCGGACGGGUGAGUAACACGUGGAUAACCUACCUAUAAGACUGGGAUAACUUCGGGAAACCGGAGCUAAUACCGGAUAAUAUUUUGAACCGCAUGGUUCAAAAGUGAAAGACGGUCUUGCUGUCACUUAUAGAUGGAUCCGCGCUGCAUUAGCUAGUUGGUAAGGUAACGGCUUACCAAGGCAACGAUGCAUAGCCGACCUGAGAGGGUGAUCGGCCACACUGGAACUGAGACACGGUCCAGACUCCUACGGGAGGCAGCAGUAGGGAAUCUUCCGCAAUGGGCGAAAGCCUGACGGAGCAACGCCGCGUGAGUGAUGAAGGUCUUCGGAUCGUAAAACUCUGUUAUUAGGGAAGAACAUAUGUGUAAGUAACUGUGCACAUCUUGACGGUACCUAAUCAGAAAGCCACGGCUAACUACGUG